This 279-nucleotide long non-coding RNA is filed under the name Homo sapiens (human). Its description in RNAcentral is "HSALNT0097543". Lineage: Eukaryota; Metazoa; Chordata; Mammalia; Primates; Hominidae. The record is from RNAcentral.
UGUCUUCUUGUCACCAUCUGAGAGUUGGAGGAAGGUCUGGCUGAGGCGGGGAGAUGUGUUGGCCUCAUCCAACCCAGGGAUGCCUGCCACUGAGAGCGCCAGGGCUGGAAGUCUCCAAGGAUACACUGGCCUGGGGCAUUCUUCACAUCAUCUCCCGGGGCAGAGGUGGUGUUCAUCUUCUCUGCAUUGGGGAACUGGGUCAUCAGCUGCAUCUGGAAAUCUUCUCUUCGCUCAUAUUCCUUCCCGCGGUAGAUGAACACUUUGUUCUGCAGAGAAAGG